UGGGGAAUUUUGGACAAUGGGCGAAAGCCUGAUCCAGCAAUGCCGCGUGUGUGAAGAAGGCCUUCGGGUUGUAAAGCACUUUUGUCCGGAAAGAAAUGGCUCUGGUUAAUACCUGGGGUCGAUGACGGUACCGGAAGAAUAAGGACCGGCUAACUACGUGCCAGCAGCCGCGGUAAUACGUAGGGUCCAAGCGUUAAUCGGAAUUACUGGGCGUAAAGCGUGCGCAGGCGGUUGUGCAAGACCGAUGUGAAAUCCCCGAGCUUAACUUGGGAAUUGCAUUGGUGACUGCACGGCUAGAGUGUGUCAGAGGGGGGUAGAAUUCCACGUGUAGCAGUGAAAUGCGUAGAGAUGUGGAGGAAUAUCGAUGGCGAAGGCAGCCCCCUGGGAUAACACUGACGCUCAUGCACGAAAGCGUGGGGAGCAAACAGG
Molecule: ribosomal RNA, 429 nt
Filed under: Acidobacteriota bacterium
Lineage: Bacteria; Pseudomonadati; Acidobacteriota
Description: Acidobacteria bacterium partial 16S ribosomal RNA
Rfam family: Bacterial small subunit ribosomal RNA
Source: RNAcentral